UUUAAGUUUUCCCAUUUGAAGUACAAUUCAGUCAUUUCUGGAGUUAAAACCAGUAUGUUUUGGGUAAAUGGACAAUUCAAGAUACUUUCCAAUUCCUGCUUCCAUCUAGGAAAAGUAGGGGAAAAUUGAAGAGGAUUGGACUUACGCCUGAAAUAUCAACCACCUGACUGAGCUUGUGAGGGACCCCGCAGAAGCACACUCCUGCUGGCUGUGGGAGUACGGGGUGGCUCCUGGAACUAUUUGGAGCAAACAGUGGCUACAGAAGACAGUCUCUGGGGAAGCCCCUGUCUGUGACUUU
Non-coding RNA from Odocoileus virginianus texanus, 298 nucleotides. The record is from RefSeq and is a predicted model, not a curated record. Lineage: Eukaryota; Metazoa; Chordata; Mammalia; Artiodactyla; Cervidae.